CCUACGGGGGGCAGCAGUGAGGAAUAUUGGUCAAUGGACGAGAGUCUGAACCAGCCAAGUAGCGUGAAGGAUGACUGCCCUAUGGGUUGUAAACUUCUUUUAUAUGGGAAUAAAACGUUCCACGUGUGGGAUUUUGUAUGUACCAUAUGAAUAAGGAUCGGCUAACUCCGUGCCAGCAGCCGCGGUAAUACGGAGGAUCCGAGCGUUAUCCGGAUUUAUUGGGUGUAAAGGGAGCGUAGGUGGAUUGUUAAGUCAGUUGUGAAAGUUUGCGGCUCAACCGUAAAAUUGCAGUUGAAACUGGCAGUCUUGAGUACAGUAGAGGUGGGCGGAAUUCGUGGUGUAGCGGUGAAAUGCUUAGAUAUCACGAAGAACUCCGAUUGCGAAGGCAGUUCACUGGACUGCAACUGACACUGAGGCUCGAAAGUGUGGGUAUCAAACAGGAUUAGAUACCCUAGUAGUC
RNAcentral lists this ribosomal RNA (460 nucleotides) under uncultured bacterium. RNAcentral describes it as "partial 16S ribosomal RNA". It matches the Rfam family "Bacterial small subunit ribosomal RNA", at positions 338 to 795 of the family's 1533-position model. The record is from RNAcentral.